Long non-coding RNA from Esox lucius (northern pike), 2701 nucleotides. The record is from Ensembl. Lineage: Eukaryota; Metazoa; Chordata; Actinopteri; Esociformes; Esocidae.
CAUAACAUUAUGACCACUGACAGGUGAAGUGAGUAACACUGAUAAUCUCGUUAUCAUGGCAUCUGUCUGUGGGUGGGAUAUAUUAGGCAGCAAGUGAACAUUCUGUCCUCAAACUGGAUGUGUCAGAAGCAGGAAAAAUAGGCAAGCGUAAGGAUCUGAGCGACUUUAACAAGGGCCAAAUUGUGAUGGCUGGACGACUGGGUAAGAGUAUAUCCAGAAUGCAGCCCUUUUGGGUUGUUCCUGGUCUGCAGUGGUCAGUACCUAUCAAAAGUGGUCCAAGGAAGGAAAAGCGUUGAACCGGCGACAGGGUCAUGGACGACCAAGGCUCAUUGACGCACGUGGGGAGCGAAGCCUGGCCUGUGUGGUCCAAUUCAACAGAUGCAAUAGAAGAAGGUGGUCUGACGAAUGAAACAAAUGGCACCAGGAUGCACUAUGGGAAGGAAUCAAGCCGGCGGAGGCAGUGUGAUGCUUUCGACAAUGUCCUGCUGGGAAACCUUGGGUCCUGCCAUUCAUGUGGAUGUUACUUUGACACCAACCACCUACCUGAGCGUUGUUGCGGACCAUGUGCACCCUUUCAUGGCAACGGUAUUCCCUCACGGCAUUGGCCUCUUUCAGCAGGAUAAUGCGCCCUGCCACAAAGCAAAAAUGGCUCAGGAAUGGUUUGAGAAACAGAACAACGAGUUCAAUGUGUCGACUUGGCCUCCAAAUUCCCCGGACGUCAAUCGAGCAUUUGUGGGAUGUGCUGGACAAACAGGUCCAAUCCAUGGAGAACCCACCUCGCAACUUACAGGACUUAAAGGAUCUGCUGCUAGUUUCUUGGUGCCAGAUACCACAGCACACCUUCAGAGGUCUAGUGGAGUCCAUGCCUCGAAUGAGUCAGGGCUGUUUUAUAACUGGGGUCUUAUAUCCCCAGUUAAAAGAGGGUGGGCACACUUAUGCAACCAGGUUAUUGUGAGUUUUUUAUUUUUCCCCCUCAAAGAUUUGUUAGGUUUUUUUUUUUCUCAAUUGAAUUGUUCACAUUAUAGGUCACAUUUAAGGUGGAAAUAGUUCUGACAUGAUUUAUCCCUGUCUCAUUCUUUAACAUCACAAGAACCUGGCAUUUUAACAGGGGUGUGUAGACUUUAUAUAUCCACUGUAUAAAUAAAUUAAUACAAGUCGACUUUAAGUCGUUCAUCUGUAACAUGGUAGUAUUCUUCAUACCAGGUUUAGAGCAUAACUCACAACCAUGUAGCUACUUAAAGUCACACACCAAGUAACGUUUUCAUAAUGACUUACUUCAGCGAAUCACAUGACUGCGAGUGGCGGCUUCAAACGGAGGCAAGACACGUGGGAAACAUACAUUAGGGGGUUUGGAUGAAGCUGCUGAAGCAGAUCAGUGACCAGUAGACUGAGCUGGUAUGACCAAUGCCCACGCGUAGUCCUUUGCUUUGAGCUAGUCCAGGAACUAGAUCACUGUCUCCCUAAAAAUAGUGCACAGUGCAGUACGUGUGUGUGUAGUUCGGGGUUGCCUGUGUGUGUUGCUCCUGCUCCAUUUAGUCAUGGCAGUGAUGGCAGAGGUGCCAGAGGAGCAAAGAUGGCAGGGGAGCAGAGAAGGCAGGUGGGCAGGAGUGGCAGGGGAAUAGAGGUAGCAGGAGAGCAGAGGUAGCAGGGGAGCAGAGGUAGCAGGGGAGCAGAGGUAGCAGGGGAGCAGAGGUAGCAGGGGAGCAGGAGAGUAGAGGUAGCAGGAGAGCAGAGGUAACAGGAGAGUAGAGGUAGCAGGGGAGCAGAGGUAGCAGGAGAGCAGAGGUAGCAGGGGAGUAGAGGUAGCAGGGGAGUAGAGGUAACAGGAGAGUAGAGGUAGCAGGGGAGUAGAGGUAGCAGGGGAGUAGAGGUAACAGGGGAGUAGAGGUAGCAGGGGAGUAGAGGUAGCAGGGGAGCAGAGGUAACAGGGGAGUAGAGGUAGCAGGGGAGCAGAGGUAGCAGGGGAGCAGAGGCUCCAGGGUCUAAAUGUGUUUCCUGUGUCUGACGGUUUGGAGGUUACUGGGUAUCAGAACACACUGCUCCUGCACAGCAUAGACAUUUUCCAUUCUGUCAGCGCGAGCACACUAGCUCCUUCCAAACUCAGCGCCACUUCAUUAAAUGACUUCAGACUCUUGGCAGAGGCAGUGGGAAAAGUCUAUAUUAACUGUGUGUGAGAUCCACUGGGCGGCCAACAAAGGCCAUAGUUGUUCCCCGGCACCAGUCGCUGCUGGCGGGGAGGGGUACUGGGACUGGAGGGUACCCCUUUAGGUUAGGCACUGCAGACGAUACGGCACCCCAAAAAAUUAAAUCAACCAGGACCCAGGUGGUCUCACCCCUGACUUACCUUGGGAGGAAGUACGGUCAGAGCUGUGACCUAUGGUGAUAAUAAAAUGGCUGAAAUACCUGGUUCAGUUUAGCGGCGGGCACAGGGAGCUUUGGAGCAAACUUUGCCCUGCAGGGCAAGCAGAUCUGCUCGCGUGUAUACAGGAGGUUGUUACGUUUUGCGGCAGGCAAAAUGCAGUGCAGGGAACUGAACCAUUUACUCUGCACAUUUCAAAGAUUUCAUUAAAGGGUACAGGUCUGCAAGAAAACAUGCUGUAACUUUACAGAACCAGUCCACCACAGUCAGCCCGACUGUUGCCCAGUUCACAUACACCAGGGCAGCCACAUCAAACUCUGAUGGAAGACUAUGUAAAUAUAC